This 444-nucleotide ribosomal RNA is filed under the name uncultured bacterium. RNAcentral describes it as "bacterial SSU rRNA". It matches the Rfam family "Bacterial small subunit ribosomal RNA", at positions 57 to 518 of the family's 1533-position model. The record is from RNAcentral.
GCAAGUCGAGCGAUGAAGCUUCUUCGGAAGUGGAUUAGCGGCGGACGGGUGAGUAACACGUGGUAACCUGCCUCAUAGAGGGGAAUAGCCUUCCGAAAGGAAGAUUAAUACCGCAUAAGAUUGUAAUAUCGCAUGAUAUAGCAAUUAAAGGAGUAAUCCGCUAUGAGAUGGACCCGCGUCGCAUUAGCUAGUUGGUGAGGUAACGGCUCACCAAGGCGACGAUGCGUAGCCGACCUGAGAGGGUGAUCGGCCACAUUGGGACUGAGACACGGCCCAGACUCCUACGGGAGGCAGCAGUGGGGAAUAUUGCACAAUGGGGGAAACCCUGAUGCAGCCAACGCCGCGUGAGUGAUGACGGUCUUCGGAUUGUAAAGCUCUGUCUUCAGGGACGAUAAUGACGGUACCUGAGGAGGAAGCCACGGCUAACUACGUGCCAGCCGCAGC